RNAcentral lists this unclassified non-coding RNA (518 nucleotides) under Hevea brasiliensis (rubber tree). Lineage: Eukaryota; Viridiplantae; Streptophyta; Magnoliopsida; Malpighiales; Euphorbiaceae. The record is from RNAcentral.
GAAAGAACGCUUACAGAAAGAAAAAGAAGAAAAUGAAAAAAAUGAAGCUGAAGAAAAAGCUUCUAGAGAGAAAGGAAAAGUUGAAGAGGAAGCUCAGCAAGAAAAAGGAGGAGCCAUGGAGAAAGCUAAUGUAGGAGACAAUCCUGCAGAAAGUGUUGAUAAUGAUAAAAUUGGUGUUUUGGAUGAUUCUUCUUUGGAUCAGGUCAUUCCUCUACUUUUGAUGCUCAACUUUUGCCAACUAUAUGAAUUUGUGCAUGCAUAAUCUCUUUAGAUUUAUGGCUGUUAUGUAGUUAAGGUUUUUAAGUAUUUGUAGCUUUUAUUAUGUUCUGAUAGCAUGGGUUCAAAAAGUCAAAUUUUGAAUAUUUUAACUAAUUAGAGACAAAGCUUCUAUUCAUACUCCAACAAAAAAGUUAUUAUGGAACUCAUAUAGAUGGUUUGAUUGGGUAAAUAUCUGCAAUGCACUAACUGUUAUGGAUGAUUUAAGCUUUUGUUCAAUGUUUAUGACCCUAUUGCAAAAU